GCAUCGGUCUCCAAAACCGAGGGUUGCGGGUUCGAGUCCUGUCUCCCCUGCCA
Molecule: transfer RNA, 53 nt
Filed under: Bacillota bacterium
Lineage: Bacteria; Bacillati; Bacillota
Description: tRNA-Ser
Rfam family: tRNA
About the family: Transfer RNA (tRNA) molecules are approximately 80 nucleotides in length. Their secondary structure includes four short double-helical elements and three loops (D, anti-codon, and T loops). Further hydrogen bonds mediate the characteristic L-shaped molecular structure. tRNAs have two regions of fundamental functional importance: the anti-codon, which is responsible for specific mRNA codon recognition, and the 3' end, to which the tRNAs corresponding amino acid is attached (by aminoacyl-tRNA synthetases). tRNAs cope with the degeneracy of the genetic code in two manners: having more than one tRNA (with a specific anti-codon) for a particular amino acid; and 'wobble' base-pairing, i.e. permitting non-standard base-pairing at the 3rd anti-codon position.
Source: RNAcentral